AACGUAGGAGACAAACGUUAUCCGGAGUUACUGGGCGUAAAGGGCGUGCAGGUGGUCUGUUAAGUCUGGCGUGAAAGCUCUCGGCUAAACCGGGAGAGGUCGUUGGAUACUGGCGGACUAGAGGACGGUAGAGGCGUGUGGAAUUCCGGGUGUAGUGGUGAAAUGCGUAGAGAUCCGGAGGAACACCAAUGGCGAAGGCAGCUCGCUGGGACGGUACUGACGCUGAGACGCGAAAGCGUGGGGAGCAAACAGG
RNAcentral lists this ribosomal RNA (253 nucleotides) under uncultured bacterium. RNAcentral describes it as "partial 16S ribosomal RNA". It matches the Rfam family "Bacterial small subunit ribosomal RNA", at positions 524 to 776 of the family's 1533-position model. The record is from RNAcentral.